UCCCAUGCAUCUUGCGACCCGAGCAAUGCUUUCAUCCUUAUACUCCAAUUGUCGUAGUUAUCCUUGUUGAGUUGGGGGACUUGAAAAGGAAUCAUCCCACUUGCCAUUUUUCACAAGAAUCUUGGGGCUCUGAUACCAGUUUGUUGGAGGAAAGAUGGGUUUACUAACUUGGAUUAGCUAAGGCUUUUAAGAGGACAACACUAAUAGGAAGAAGGAAGUGAAAAAAGGAAACUUGUAUUUCUUAAAUUCAAGACUUUACACACCUUUUGGCUUG
Molecule: long non-coding RNA, 274 nt
Filed under: Olea europaea (common olive)
Lineage: Eukaryota; Viridiplantae; Streptophyta; Magnoliopsida; Lamiales; Oleaceae
Description: long non-coding RNA (OEUR_LNC000520)
Source: RNAcentral